RNAcentral lists this unclassified non-coding RNA (391 nucleotides) under soil metagenome. RNAcentral describes it as "partial contains 5.8S ribosomal RNA, internal transcribed spacer 2, and large subunit ribosomal RNA". The stretch from base 1 to 122 matches the Rfam family "5.8S ribosomal RNA", at positions 35 to 154 of the family's 154-position model. The record is from RNAcentral.
GAUGAAGAACGCAGCGAAAUGCGAUACUUGGUGUGAAUUGCAGAAUCCCGUGAACCAUCGAGUCUUUGAACGCAAGUUGCGCCCGAAGCCAUUAGGCCGAGGGCACGCCUGCCUGGGCGUCACACGUCGUUGCCCCCCCAUCUACUCCUUCGGGAUUGCGGGUGGCGGAUGAUGGCCUCCCGUGCGCCUCGUCGCGCGGUUGGCAUAAAUGCCAAGUCCUCGGCGACGCACGCCACGACAAUCGGUGGUUGCGAAACCUCGGUUGCCCGUCGUGUGCGGUCGUCGCGCAUCGAGGGCUCGAAAAAAUUGCCGGGCUCCGGCUCGGCUUUCAACGCGACCCCAGGUCAGGCGGGGUUACCCGCUGAAUUUAAGCAUAUCAAUAAGCGGAGGA